ACGAGAACCUGGGUCGAUCGGUGCGAACAAAAGCGGAGUGGCAUCUCCAUACAGGGGAGGAGGGGAGAGAGAGAGAGAGAGAGAGAGAGAGAGAGAGAGCCCUCCCAAACCCCCUUCGCCUCUUCUCUCUCUCCACCCUCAAUCAACAGCUAGGGUUAGGGUUUCUCUCGCCCCUCGCUUCCCGCCCACCCCACGCCAUGGAGAAGUGGAAUUGGAACUUCCCCGAUGGCAACGUCGCCGAUCUCGUGGAGAGUCGCCGCAUCGAUUUCUCUUGGGAUGUGGAUCGCAGCUUGCAAUCGCACUCCUCGUUGAUGAAGAGGCUUGCUUUGGAGAAGGAGAUGGAGGGGCAUCUGGGUUGUGUUAACGCUAUCGCGUGGAACUCAAAAGGCUCCCUACUUAUAUCAGGAUCUGAUGAUACAAGAAUCAAUAUAUGGAGUUACUCCAAUCCAGGGCUUUUGCAUAGUAUUGAGACUGGGCACUCUACCAACAUAUUCUGCACAAAAUUUGUUCCAGAGACAAAUGAUGAACUUGUUGUGUCAGGAGCAGGAGAUACAGAGGUUCGUGUGUUCAAUUUGUCUCGCUUAGGUAUGAGAAGAUCCCGAGAUAUUACUCCAGAACCAGCAGCUGUAUACCGGUGCCACAGAAGAAGGGUCAAAAAGCUAGCUGUUGAAACCGGAAACCCUAAUGUAGUUUGGAGUGCAAGUGAGGAUGGAACUUUGAGACAACAUGAUUUCCGUGAAAGUUCUUCCUGUCCUCCAGCUGGAUCCUCUAAUCAAGAAUGUCGUAAUGUUCUUCUCGAUCUUCGUAGUGGUGCGAAGAAGUCUUUAGCUGAUCCUCCGAAGCAGUGCUUGUUACUGAAGUCUUGUGACAUCAGUUCUACUCGUCCACAUCAACUUCUUGUUGGAGGAAGUGAUGCAUUUGCUCGGCUGUAUGAUCGAAGAAUGCUUCCGCCAUUGAGCUCUUCUGAGCUGAAACUGAAGGCCCCUCCUUGUGUUAAUUAUUUUUGUCCAACACAUCUUUCUGAGCGGAGAAAAUCAAACUUGCACCUAACACAUGUUACCUUCAGCCCGAAUGGAGAAGAGGUUCUCUUGAGCUAUAGUGGUGAACACGUAUAUCUCAUGGAUGUUAUCAAUGAUGAUCAGAGCAGUUUGAGAUACACGGCUGACGAUAUUUCCAAGCAGUUAUAUUUAGCACCUUUGCCUCAGGAACCAGAAAUCCAUUCCCAAUUAUCAACAGCAUCCUCAGUGAAGAUACCUCCUGGAAGAUGUAAUUCGCACAGGUUUGAAAUGUGCAAGAAAUUGGUCCAAAUUGCAGCGAGGACUUUGGAGGUGGGUUCGGAUUUAUUAUAUGGCAUUGAAGCAUGCAAUGAAGUACUGGAUGGAAGGGGUUCUUACAUCAGCGAUGCUCUAAGGCAUGAGUGUUUGUGUAUUCGAGCAGCACUGUUUCUCAAGAGGAAAUGGAAAAAUGAUGCUCACAUGGCUGUCCGGGAUUGCCUCAGAGCUCGGAGUAUUGAUACUUCAUCAUUCAGGGCACACUUGUACAUGGCUGAAGCACUCUUGCAGCUGGGAAGACACAAAGAAGCGUCUGAUUUUGCAGAGGCAGCACAUAAUUUAACUCCCAACUAUAAGGCUGCGGAAGAAGUGGAGAGUUUAAAAGAGCGUCUUGCUGCAGCGGAAGCUGAGAGAAACAGAAAGGAUAAUGAAGGGUCUACCAGAAGUGAAUUACAUCAUGGGAGGUUAAGAUCCUUGAGCGAUAUACUCUUUAGGCCAGAUGUUGGUGGCCCCCAAGAGGGUAGAGAUGACAGAGAAGAUUCUGAUUAUGAGGAUGAAAUGGAGUUGGAUUUUGAAACAUCAAUAUCUGGUGAUGAGGAUCGUGGUAAUAAUGAAUCAAGGAUCGUUCGAGGAAGCUUAAAUCUGAAAUUUCAUCGCAGGGAUGACUCAACUAAAGAGCACUGCGGUGUGAAUGGUUCGAAAAGUGAUAUGCCAUCAACCUCUGAAUGUGAAAAUUCUGCUUAUAAGGCUGAUGUUGCAAUAGAUAUGAAACAAAGGUACGUUGGACACUGCAAUGUGGGGACAGAUAUAAAACAAGCUAGCUUUCUUGGCCAGCGAGGAGAAUUUGUUGCUAGCGGAAGUGAUGAUGGGAGAUGGUUCAUUUGGGAGAAAAGAACAGGGCGAUUGAUAAAAAUGCUUGCAGGAGAUGAGGCUGUUGUGAACUGUAUACAAUGUCAUCCAUUUGAUUGUGCUAUUGCAACUAGCGGAAUUGAUAAUACAAUUAAGAUGUGGACACCACACGCUCAAGUUUCAUCGAUGGUUGCUGGAGGAGCUGCAGGACCAGAAACUGCUGAUGUACUGAGUGCCAUAGAAAACAAUCAACGCAAGCUGUGCCGCUAUCGUGAAGCUGUGCUAAUGGGGCAUUAUUGUGAGGAAGGUUUUCACUUAAGGACUUCCGAAUAUGUGCGACAUUUUGCUGGAAUGAAAAAUUUUAGGGCAACUGCUUAAACAGUCACUUUUACUGGCCAGAUUGAGAUUUUAAGAACAUACGUCCAGUAACUUGGUCUAGUCGGGAUCUGCAUGUUAAGACCUUUGGACUUCUUGGAGAGAUUCAGGAUGCAUGAGUUCGCUGAAGGAACCCUACAUCCUUUUGAGUGUGCCCAGAGCUGAUGUCUUUCGUGCUGCCUGAUCAGGACCAGUGAUUCGUUAUCUAUUUUUAAAUGCACGGAACUUAACGAAUUCACAGCCGUAACAGAUGGAUAAAAGUGUUGUUUUUCUAGAGUUGCUAUUUUCACAAAUGCUGCGUGCCUUUCUCUCUCCCCCUCUCUCUCUCUGAAGCAGGAUUUUGAAGGUUAACAUCUUUGACCGUCUCAAAUUUUACAAGAUGGUGAAAAUUUUCUCUGCUGAAAUGGCUUGGCUGAUUAUCGUAUCUGCCAAUCUGGUUACGCGGUUUGCCUUAGAUGGCGUUUUUUUUAUUUCUACCUAAGUCUGCAGUAACGACAUUGUGAUUGCGAGGCCCCGGUUGUUGAGUGCAUGCAACUAUAUGCUUGUCGGCUAUUUUAUGUCCUAGAAGAAUAGUUUACACCGCCGAAUCCUUUGUACAAACUUGUAUAGAAACAACUUUUUCUUUGUAUAUUUUACUACCAAUAAGCGGCUGUUUGAGGCUUACGAGCAGCUGAAGAUGUUGGAUUUGUUUUGCCUGAUUAUCCUUUUUAAUUAGUUAUACAGUGGA
Ananas comosus (pineapple) is the source of this 3222-nucleotide RNA transcript. It is a transcript of the gene named WD repeat protein iqw1, with no coding region annotated. Lineage: Eukaryota; Viridiplantae; Streptophyta; Magnoliopsida; Poales; Bromeliaceae. The transcript is spliced from 21 exons. The record is from RefSeq and is a predicted model, not a curated record.